RNAcentral lists this long non-coding RNA (218 nucleotides) under Nicotiana benthamiana. Its description in RNAcentral is "long non-coding RNA (NBEN_LNC013484)". The record is from RNAcentral. Lineage: Eukaryota; Viridiplantae; Streptophyta; Magnoliopsida; Solanales; Solanaceae.
AAAAAGGUCAGGGAUGUCGAAAAAUCACCCAAAACAUCCACUGAGUGAAGAUCGAAGCAUCAAACAACAGUAAAAGCUCUGAUUAUCCGUUUAGUACACAUCGUUCUCUCGGUAAACAAAAUCUCUCACAAAUAUCCGAGAAAAACCUUCAAUAAAACUUCCAACGCAAUCGAUAACAAGUAACGGAGAUGAAUCCGAGGAUCAUCCCGCUCUGAUAC